CCUACGGGAGGCUGCAGUGGGGAAUAUUGCACAAUGGGCGCAAGCCUGAUGCAGCGACGCCGCGUGAGCGAUGAAGGCCUUCGGGUCGUAAAGCUCUGUCCUAAGGGAAGAAUAAUGACGGUACCUUAGGAGGAAGCGCCGGCUAACUACGUGACAGCAGCCGCGGUAAUACGUAGGGGGCGAGCGUUAUCCGGAAUCACUGGGCGUAAAGGGUGCGUAGGCGGCCCUGCAAGUCAGGAGUUCAAUCCCUCGGCUCAACCGAGGUCAGCUCUUGAAACUGUAGGGCUUGAGUGCAGGAGAGGAGAGCGGAAUUCAUAGUGUAGCGGUGAAAUGCGUAGAUAUUAGGAGCAACACCAGUCGCGACGGCGGCACCCUGGACUGCAACUGACGCUCAGGCACGAAAGCGUGGGGAGCGAACCGGAUUAGAUACACUUGUAGUC
Molecule: ribosomal RNA, 440 nt
Filed under: uncultured bacterium
Lineage: Bacteria
Description: bacterial SSU rRNA
Rfam family: Bacterial small subunit ribosomal RNA
Source: RNAcentral